UCUAGCGAGACUGCCGGUAAUAAACCGGAGGAAGGUGGGGAUGACGUCAAAUCAUCAUGCCCCUUAUGACCUGGGCUACACACGUGCUACAAUGGUUGGUACAACGAGUUGCGAGUCGGUGACGGCGAGCUAAUCUCUUAAAGCCAAUCUCAGUUCGGAUUGUAGGCUGCAACUCGCCUACAUGAAGUCGGAAUCGCUAGUAAUCGCGGAUCAGCACGCCGCGGUCGAAUACGUUCCCGGGCCUU
Molecule: ribosomal RNA, 245 nt
Filed under: uncultured Streptococcus sp.
Lineage: Bacteria; Bacillati; Bacillota; Bacilli; Lactobacillales; Streptococcaceae
Description: partial 16S ribosomal RNA
Rfam family: Bacterial small subunit ribosomal RNA
Source: RNAcentral